RNAcentral lists this transfer RNA (75 nucleotides) under Chloroflexota bacterium. Its description in RNAcentral is "Chloroflexi bacterium tRNA-Lys". It matches the Rfam family "tRNA". Rfam says of the family: Transfer RNA (tRNA) molecules are approximately 80 nucleotides in length. Their secondary structure includes four short double-helical elements and three loops (D, anti-codon, and T loops). Lineage: Bacteria; Bacillati; Chloroflexota. The record is from RNAcentral.
GGGCCGCUAGCUCAACGGUAGAGCAGGGGACUUUUAAUCCCUUGGUUCCGGGUUCGAAUCCCGGGCGGCUCACCU